GACGAACGCUGGCGGCGGGCUUAACACAUGCAAGUCGAACGGAAAGGCCCUGCUUUUGUGGGGUGCUCGAGUGGCGAACGGGUGAGUAACACGUGAGUAACCUGCCCUUGACUUUGGGAUAACUUCAGGAAACUGGGGCUAAUCCCGGAUAGGAGCUCCUGCUGCAUGGUGGGGGUUGGAAAGUUUCGGCGGUUGGAGAUGGACGCGCGGCUUAUGAGCUUGUUGGUGGGGUAGUGGCUUACCAAGGCUUGGACGGGUAGCCGGCCUGAGAGCGUGACCGGCCACAUUGCGACUGAGAGACGGCGCAGACUGCUACGUGAGGCAGCAGUGGGGAAUAUUGCACAAUGGGCGGAAGCCUGAUGCAGCAACGCCGCGGUCGUGAUGACGGCCUUCGGGGUGUAAACAGCUUUCGCCUGUGACGAAGCGUGAGUGACGGUAAUGGGUAAAGAAGCACCGGCUAACUACGUG
This 468-nucleotide ribosomal RNA is filed under the name uncultured bacterium. RNAcentral's name for it is "partial 16S ribosomal RNA". It matches the Rfam family "Bacterial small subunit ribosomal RNA", at positions 28 to 507 of the family's 1533-position model. The record is from RNAcentral.